This is a non-coding RNA of Acanthosepion pharaonis, 108 nucleotides long. The record is from the annotation of a GenBank genome assembly. NCBI's taxonomy places the organism in Eukaryota, Metazoa, Mollusca, Cephalopoda, Sepiida, Sepiidae.
UUGCGGCCAUUGCACGUUGAAACACUGAUCCGCAUAUGAUCACCAAAGUUCAGCAUCAUUGAGACUGGUCGGUACCUAGAUGGGUGACCACUUAGGAAUACUAGGAAC